Molecule: non-coding RNA, 23 nt
Filed under: Cricetulus griseus (Chinese hamster)
Lineage: Eukaryota; Metazoa; Chordata; Mammalia; Rodentia; Cricetidae
Source: RNAcentral
AUAUCUGGGUUGAUGGUACUGGA